Molecule: ribosomal RNA, 538 nt
Filed under: Streptomyces sp.
Lineage: Bacteria; Bacillati; Actinomycetota; Actinomycetes; Kitasatosporales; Streptomycetaceae
Description: bacterial SSU rRNA
Rfam family: Bacterial small subunit ribosomal RNA
Source: RNAcentral
UAGCCGGCCUGAGAGGGCGACCGGCCACACUGGGACUGAGACACGGCCCAGACUCCUACGGGAGGCAGCAGUGGGGAAUAUUGCACAAUGGGCGAAAGCCUGACGCAGCGACGCCGCGUGAGGGAUGACGGCCUUCGGGUUGUAAACCUCUUUCACCACGGAAGAAGGGAAAGUGACGGUACCUGCAGAACAAGCGCCGGCUAACUACGUGCCAGCAGCCGCGGUAAUACGUAGGGCGCAAGCGUUGUCCGGAAUUAUUGGGCGUAAAGAGCUCGUAGGCGGCUUGUCACGUCGGUGGUGAAAGCCCGGGGCUUAACCCCGGGUCUGCAAUCUAUACGGGCAGGCUAGAGUUCGGUAGGGGAGAUCGGAAUUCCUGGUGUAGCGAUGAAAUGCGCAGAUAUCAAGAGGAACAACGGUGGCAAAAGCGGAUCUCUGGGCCGAUACUGACUCUGAGGAGCGAAAGCGUGAGGAGCGAACAGGAUUAGAUACCCUGGUAGUCCAUGCCGUAGACGGUGGGCACUAAGUGUGGGCAACAUUC